RNAcentral lists this long non-coding RNA (546 nucleotides) under Zostera marina. RNAcentral's name for it is "long non-coding RNA (ZMAR_LNC003637)". The record is from RNAcentral. Lineage: Eukaryota; Viridiplantae; Streptophyta; Magnoliopsida; Alismatales; Zosteraceae.
UAAAAUCCUAGGGAAAAUCCUUUUCCCAAAUCGUGUCUCUCUGGCGACUCUAUUCACAUCUCCGGUAAUCGUCGCUUCUGGUAGCAGCAACUGUGUUUCUUUAUUUCUUUACAUUUAUUCAAUUAUUUCGGUAUCAUUGUUCUUGUUACUUCCUGUUUGUGUAAACCUAAUGAGAUCUGUGAUUUUAUGAUGGUAUAAGAGCGGGUUUAGGCUUUUUCUAUUCAUCACUAUCUCGCGUUGAUCUAUUUGCUUGAAGGACACAUAUUAUUAGGAAAUCUGCGAUUUCCAUCAGGUAUUGUUUCAUUAUUCUUUCAUCCGCGAUUUUUCCCUUUUUUUUUGUUUUGCCAUCUUCGGAAGUCGUUUACUGAUCUGCAAAUCUUGUUUUUUUAUCAUCUCAAAAUUGCGUUUUUUUCUUCCGAUCCUACUCCUGUGGGCACUUUAUCCCAUCACAAAAUCUCUGCUAUGAUUCAAUCUUCCGCUGCAUUCACUAUCUGAAUUUAUCAUCAGUUGAUACUGGUUAUUUUUGCACUUAUCCUUAAUUUUGUA